This 1579-nucleotide long non-coding RNA is filed under the name Homo sapiens (human). RNAcentral describes it as "novel transcript". Lineage: Eukaryota; Metazoa; Chordata; Mammalia; Primates; Hominidae. The record is from RNAcentral.
GGGCGGGAUGUAACCCGCUGCUGAGCUGGCAGCUCUGUGUCGCUAGGCUUCGGCCCGGCCGCCGCCGCACAUAAGCUGCGAGGAGGAGCUUUACGACUUCCCGGUCUUCGGGGCCGGGCGCAGCAAGGGCCAGACUCUGCGCUAGCAGGCGCUGCGCGCCAACCGGCCGGCACCUGUCGCAGAAGGUGCAACCGAUCGCACUGUCGCGCCGAAGCUCCUCAAUGGCCAGCGCCAGCUGCAGCCCCGGCCGCCCACUCGCCUCACCUGAGCCUGGGAGCUUGAAAAAUCACAUUUGAGAAGAGGAUUGGAUCCUAGCCAUAACAUAAAUAUAAGGGUGGAACCAAAGUUUUAAUCAAAGAAGGUGGUGUUCAGUUGCUGCUUACAAUAGUUGAUACCCCAGGAUUUGGAGAUGCAGUGGAUAACAGUAAUUGCUGGCAGCCUGUUAUCAAUUACAUUGAUAUUAAAUUUGAGGACUACCUAAAUGCAGAAUCGCGAGUGAACAGAUGUCAGAUGCCUGGUAACAGGGUGCAGUGUUGUUUAUACUUCAUUGCUCCUUCAGGACAUGGACCAUUACAUAACUGAAGACUCCCACCUUCAGGCAGGAUUGGGUAGUACGUGUUUGUAACUACCUGGCAUUGCCUUUUGUUGAGGAAGGGUAGAUGUCUACCCAAAUGGAAUAUUGAGUAUCAGAGACUUCAAAUGAUAACUUUUGUUUGUUUGGAGAAAAUCUUGAGGACGUGAUCACUGUACAAAAGCAUGGCAAAAUGAGGAAACCACUGACAGGUGAAGAAUUUGCACAAUGGAAAACCACCUUGACCAUCUCAUGACUUUAUACAGGAAUCGGAGACAUCCAAGGCCAUUCCAUUUCUAAAUCACACUUAUCCCUCAAUCAAGUCAGUGACUGGAUCAUCUCCUAAGGUUUCACCUGCUUUGCAUCAGUGAGUUGGACUAUGGAUCAGGUACUGUGCUCAGCAUCAGAAAAUGGGAUGACAAUGAACAGAGUAACAGGACUAUAUUUCUGAAAAAGGAUGAACUUACUGGAAACAGGAUUGCGUGCCUGAAAUAUAUCCAAAUGGAUAUAAAUGUCAACUCAGUUCUGGGCUGGAGAUAUAGAUUUGGAAUGCACCAACAAUGCAGAUGGUAAUCCUGGCAUGCGAGUAGGUGAGAUCAUCCAGGGAGAUGGCCUAUAAUGAGAGCCUACAACAUGUCAGGGCUCAAGCACCUCUUACUGCCUCCUCACUCUGGAACCAAAUGCCUUACUGUCUGCACUGCUCCCCAUUGCCUUCCCUCCCGCCUCACCAGUUGAUCCCUAUACCUCCUUCCCAAUGACCUCCAGGAGGCCUCUAACUUACAGGAGAAUGCGUUUCAGGUUCUAAUGACAGGAUCACAGAAUGUGAAUUUUGAACAGAUCUGAAAAGUUAUUAAGUUCAACUCCACAGAGGUUCCUAGGAGAAUGUUAACAGUCCAGACCUUUUUCACUACAUCAACCACGGAUGAUUGGCAUAUAAAAUCCUACUUAACCUUUACAUAACUGCAAUACCAGGAAACAAAUAUGUCAAUAAAAGGAAACAUCAUUCAA